AUUCAGCUGACGAGUUCGAAAUAGGACCAAACACGUAUCCUGGAU
This 45-nucleotide non-coding RNA is filed under the name Schistosoma haematobium. Lineage: Eukaryota; Metazoa; Platyhelminthes; Trematoda; Strigeidida; Schistosomatidae. The record is from RNAcentral.